AGGGGUAGGCAGGUGGCCGCCCGCCAUCAGGCGGGAGGAAAGUCCGAGCUCCACAGGGCAGGGUGCUCCGUAACGCGGAGGUCCUGUAAGGGACGGAAAGUGCCACAGAGAAUAGACCGCCUCGCCCUCCCUCAUAAGGGGCGGGGUAAGGUUGCAACGGUCAGGUAAGAGCUCACCGCUCCCGUGGCGACACGGGAGGCACGGCAAACCCCACCCGGAGCAAGAUCAAGCAGGGACUCGGUGGCCCGCCAUAAGUCCCGGGUAGAUCGCUAAAGUCUGGUAGUAAUACCAGACGGAGAUGGAUGGUCACCCUUGACAGAACUCGGCUUAUCGCCUACCCCUUUUA
RNAcentral lists this RNase P RNA (346 nucleotides) under Caldifarciminota bacterium. RNAcentral describes it as "RNase P RNA component class A". It matches the Rfam family "Bacterial RNase P class A". Rfam says of the family: Ribonuclease P (RNase P) is a ubiquitous endoribonuclease, found in archaea, bacteria and eukarya as well as chloroplasts and mitochondria. Its best characterised activity is the generation of mature 5'-ends of tRNAs by cleaving the 5'-leader elements of precursor-tRNAs. The record is from RNAcentral. Lineage: Bacteria; Pseudomonadati; Caldifarciminota.